UACGGGGGGAGCAAGCGUUGUUCGGAUUUACUGGGCGUAAAGGGCGCGUAGGCGGCCACCGCAAGUCACUUGUGAAAUCUCCGGGCUUAACUCGGAACGGUCAAGUGAAACUGUCAUGCUAGAGUGCAGAAGGGGCAAUCGGAAUUCUUGGUGUAGCGGUGAAAUGCGUAGAUAUCAAGAGGAACACCUGAGGUGAAGACGGGUUGCUGGGCUGACACUGACGCUGAGGCGCGAAAGCCAGGGGAGCAAACGGG
Molecule: ribosomal RNA, 254 nt
Filed under: uncultured bacterium
Lineage: Bacteria
Description: partial 16S ribosomal RNA
Rfam family: Bacterial small subunit ribosomal RNA
Source: RNAcentral